RNAcentral lists this ribosomal RNA (246 nucleotides) under uncultured bacterium. Its description in RNAcentral is "partial small subunit ribosomal RNA". It matches the Rfam family "Bacterial small subunit ribosomal RNA", at positions 26 to 285 of the family's 1533-position model. The record is from RNAcentral.
AGAAUCAACGCUGGCGGCGUGCCUAACACAUGCAAGUCGAACGAGAAAGUGGAGCAAUCCAUGAGUAAAGUGGCGCACGGGUGAGUAACACGUGACUAACCUACCCCUUGAGUGGGGAAUAAACUUCGGGAAACCGAGGCUAAUACCGCAUAAUACCUACGGGUCAAAGGAGCAAUUCGCUUAAGGAGGGGUCGCGGCAGAUUAGUUAGUUGGCAGGGUAAUGGCCUACCAAGACGGUGAUCUGUA